UAGAUGAUGUAGAUGAUGUAGAUGAUGUAGAUGAUGUAGAUGAUGUAGAUGAUGUAGAUGAUGUAGAUGAUGUAGAUGAUGUAGAUGAUGUAGAUGAUAUAGAUGAUGUAGAUGAUGUAGAUGGUGUAUAUGAUGUAUAUGAUGUAGAUGAUGUAGAUGAUGUAGAAGGUGUGUCCAAUAUUUUAGAAUCAAAUGAUGAAAUGCAUGAUGAGUUUGAUGAUAAUAGUUUAAAACAUAUUAAUAAAAAUGUAAAAAAAAAAAAAAAGCUUAAAAACAAUAAAAAUAAUAAAGAUUUUUAUGGUUUGAAUACCUUUUUUGAUAACAUUAAUUAUACCAAUAAAAAUAUUAUUAACAAUUCAAGCACAGAAUAUAGCGACAUAUCCCUUAAAUAUUUAGGGUUGGGUUAUGAUAUAAUUAUGGGUAACCCAGAGGGAGAUUCCAUGUUAAAUGUUGAUCCAGGAUUUAGAGGGCCCAUACUGGAAAUAAAUAUUGACAUCAAUAAUUUGAGUAAUAACGAUAUGAAUAUAGAUAUAAAUAAUACUAUCCCUGUUGAUAUAAAAGAAGAUGAUCCUUUUGAUAUAAGCAGCUAUAAUGGCAACACCGACAUUGGUAAUGUAGCGUCCAAUAGUGAUAACCAAACAGAAGAGAACAACUCUCAAAAACAAACUAAAGCACCAACUCCUUGGAUAAUACCAGAACAUUCUUGUAGCCAAUCAAAACAUGUAGAUGAGAUCCGCAAUUUGAGCCAAUAUCAAAAUGAACUGUUGUCAGAUAUUAGUGUAAGUUCUCCAUUUGUACUUCCAUUUUCUUUUUCUGCAUCAUCCGAAUAUAAAAAUGUGUUUAGAAAAUUAAAAUUAAAUAAUAAUAUAAUAUUUAUUAUGAAGAUAUAUUGUUUACGUUAUUAUAUUGGAAUACCAGUAACACCUAUAUGGAAAUUAACUAAAAAUUUUCAAAGCGCUUUAGAUAACUUACCUAAAAAUUUUGAUGGUUUAAAAGAAGAUAGUAAAUGUUCUUACGACUUUUAUGUUCAUAAUGAUUUUAGUCCUUUAUGUGAAGACGUUAAUAAAUGGAUGAUCUUUUUUAAAUUACAUGGUACUCAUGUUGCGCAUGAGAUUUAUUUAGGGGGAAAAAUUGUUUUAAAAAUGAGUAUAAAUAAAAACGAAUAUGAAAGAAUGAAAGAUAGAAACAUAAAUAUCCAAACAUUAUUUAAUUUUUAUUUUCAUAAAAUGGGUUUAUCUGGAACUGUUAAAAAAAAAAACAAAAAAUUGGUUAAGAAAUUUAGUGUAACAAAAAGUGUAUCUAUUCUUGGUGGUAAUCCAGGUUUAAAUAUUGAAAAUUCAGUUUUUUUUUCCAAAUGGGUAAAUUCAAUUAAUAAUAAUUCAAUGCCUAUAAGAACAAAAAUAUUACCAUUUAGUUAUUUUAUGGAUGAUCCUGAUUUGAUAAAUGCAUAUAAUAAUGCAUUAAUAUAUUAUGGUAUAACUUUUGGAAUAGAAAUAAAAAAUCAAAAAUUUUAUAAAUAUAGUAUAACGUCAAUAAGUGAUUAUCUUAGAAAUGCAACUCAAGAAAUAUAUGCAGGUCCAGCUCCUGGAUUAUUAACUUGUCCAGUUGGUAGUAGUAUACUAAUGGGAUUUUCAUUAAAUUUAAAUUUUACAAAUGAUAAAAAAUUAAGUACAACUAAUGGAUUAAAUAUUUGUGAAAAAUUAAAAGAAUCAUGUAGUGGUG
Molecule: long non-coding RNA, 1722 nt
Organism: Piliocolobus tephrosceles (Ugandan red Colobus)
Lineage: Eukaryota; Metazoa; Chordata; Mammalia; Primates; Cercopithecidae
Source: Ensembl